RNAcentral lists this ribosomal RNA (495 nucleotides) under uncultured bacterium. RNAcentral describes it as "bacterial SSU rRNA". It matches the Rfam family "Bacterial small subunit ribosomal RNA", at positions 30 to 518 of the family's 1533-position model. The record is from RNAcentral.
UGAACGCUGGCGGCGUGCCUAACACAUGCAAGUCGAACGGUGAUGAGCAGAAAUUUCGGAUGGAAGCUGAUCAUAGUGGCGGACGGGUGAGUAACGCGUGGAUAACCUGCCUCUCGCUGGGGGAUAGCAGCCGGAAACGGCUGGUAAUACCGCAUACGUUCAUUUCCCCGCAUGGGGAGGUGAGGAAAGAUUUAUCGGCGAGAGAUGGAUCCGCGUCUGAUUAGCCAGUUGGCGGGGUAACGGCCCACCAAAGCGACGAUCAGUAGCCGGCCUGAGAGGGUGAUCGGCCACAUUGGGACUGAGACACGGCCCAAACUCCUACGGGAGGCAGCAGUGGGGGAUAUUGCACAAUGGGCGCAAGCCUGAUGCAGCGACGCCCGCGUGAGUGAAGAAGUAUUUCGGUAUGUAAAGCUCUAUCGGCAGGGAAGAAAGGCCCGCAAGGGAGAUGACGGUACCUGACUAAGAAGCCCCGGCUAACUACGUGCCAGCCGCGGC